AGUCACUGACAUUAGAUACCCCCGUAGUCCAGGGUGUAAACGCUGCAGACUUGGUGUUGGGGGCCCUUUGGGGGCAUUCAGUGCCGGAGAGAAGUUGUUAAGUCUGCUACUUGGGAGUACGUCCGCAAGGAUGAAACUUAAAGGAAUUGGCGGGGGAGCACCGCAACGGGAGGAGCGUGCGGUUUAAUUGGAUUCAACACCGUAAAACUCACCAGGGAAGACUGUUACAUGAAGGCCGAGAUGAAGACUCUGCUAGAUUUUCAG
This 264-nucleotide ribosomal RNA is filed under the name uncultured archaeon. RNAcentral's name for it is "partial 16S ribosomal RNA". It matches the Rfam family "Archaeal small subunit ribosomal RNA", at positions 718 to 982 of the family's 1478-position model. The record is from RNAcentral.